This 254-nucleotide ribosomal RNA is filed under the name uncultured bacterium. RNAcentral describes it as "partial 16S ribosomal RNA". It matches the Rfam family "Bacterial small subunit ribosomal RNA", at positions 524 to 776 of the family's 1533-position model. The record is from RNAcentral.
UACGUAGGGUGCAAGCGUUGUCCGGAAUUAUUGGGCGUAAAGAGCUCGUAGGCGGUCUGUCGCGUCGGAUGUGAAAACCCAGGGCUCAACCCUGGGCCUGCAUUCGAUACGGGCAGACUAGAGUUCGGUAGGGGGAGACUGGAAUUCCUGGUGUAGCGGUGGAAUGCGCAGAUAUCAGGAGGAACACCAAUGGCGAAGGCAGAUCUCUGGGCCGUAACUGACGCUGAGGAGCGAAAGCAUGGGGAGCGAACAGG